This 363-nucleotide ribosomal RNA is filed under the name uncultured bacterium. RNAcentral's name for it is "bacterial SSU rRNA". It matches the Rfam family "Bacterial small subunit ribosomal RNA", at positions 30 to 392 of the family's 1533-position model. The record is from RNAcentral.
AUUGAACGCUGGCGGCAUGCCUUACACAUGCAAGUCGAACGGCAGCACGGGAGCAAUCCUGGUGGCGAGUGGCGAACGGGUGAGUAAUAUAUCGGAACGUGCCCAGUCGUGGGGAUAACGUAGCGAAAGCUACGCUAAUACCGCAUACGAUCUACGGAUGAAAGCGGGGGAUCGCAAGACCUCGCGCGAUUGGAGCGGCCGAUAUCAGAUUAGGUAGUUGGUGAGGUAAAAGGCUCACCAAGCCAACGAUCUGUAGCUGGUCUGAGAGGACGACCAGCCACACUGGAACUGAGACACGGUCCAGACUCCUACGGGAGCAGCAGUGAGGAAUUUUUCUGCAAAUGGGCGAAAGCCUGACAGAGC